UGUCAUGACCUGAAUAAAUGAGCUAAGUGAAGAAUAAAGAAACGACGAAUAGAAUUAUAAUACCUGGACGCAUGAGAUUUAAUUGGAGUUUAUGAAGCUGAAGGGCUGUGAUUGCACGUGAGCAUCAGCAUCCUAUAACUAAGUCCCGGAAAGAGCAAAGAGGGGCAUCGAUCAAUUGGGGCGAGAUUCUAGAGAGAUUGACCACUGGCGGCAGAAAACUCAAUGAAGCAGAGAUGGGCAUUAGGGGAACACUAGAAUUGAUCCUAGAAUGAUUGAACGCCAUAGCAAGGAGGUUAACACCAGUACCAAAUCUGAACUCUGAUGAAACUGAACGCAGUGUACGCAAAGUCAAUUGCAAGUGCAACAUUUGUAUCGGAAUUGAUGCUACAUCUUUGCGAAGUAUAAUAUGUUGUGUAUGCAACAUUGAUUUUGAGUGUACAAUUUGUAUCAAAACUGAUCUUACAUCUCCAGGAAGUGCAGGAGGUUGCUUACACAGCAUUGAUUGUGAGUGCGACAUUCGUAUUGGAAGUGAUACAUCUCUAGGAGGUGAAGGCCUGAACUACGAUGAGACAGAGAUAAUUUGGCCUCACGAUUUUCAUAUACUUGACGAUCCACAGAUUCAUCAAUCAAGGAAGAUGACAAUCAGCAAGAAUUCAAUAAAGAGAUCAAGGACAAUCAAAAAGGAAAUCGAAGAUUAGCCUUAACAUUAUUCUUGGAAAAUAAGGAUCUCCAUUGCCUUCUUUUACUAGGAUCAAAUCUCUUGGGUUGCUAUCUCUUCAUUUGGAAGAUUCCAGUCUCAACACUUUAAAAGUUGCGUCUGUGAAAGAAGAAGGUGUACAACGAGUCUGAAUCAUCCUACAUUAUCUACUCUACUUUUAAAAAGCAUUGUAUUACUUAGUUUCUACUGUUUAAAC
Long non-coding RNA from Solanum stenotomum, 914 nucleotides. RefSeq lists it as uncharacterized. Lineage: Eukaryota; Viridiplantae; Streptophyta; Magnoliopsida; Solanales; Solanaceae. The transcript has 3 exons. The record is from RefSeq and is a predicted model, not a curated record.